CCUACGGGGGGCAGCAGUGAGGAAUAUUGGUCAAUGGGCGUAAGCCUGAACCAGCCAAGUCGCGUGAGGGAUGAAGGUUCUAUGGAUCGUAAACCUCUUUUAUAAGGGAAUAAAGUGUGGGACGUGUCCUGUUUUGUAUGUACCUUAUGAAUAAGGAUCGGCUAACUCCGUGCCAGCAGCCGCGGUAAUACGGAGGAUCCGAGCGUUAUCCGGAUUUAUUGGGUUUAAAGGGUGCGUAGGUGGCCUUUUAAGUCAGCUGUGAAAGUCUGUGGCUCAACCAUAAAAUUGCAGUUGAUACUGGGAGGCUUGAGUAUGUUUGAGGCAGGCGGAAUGCGUGGUGUAGCGGUGAAAUGCUUAGAUAUCACGCAGAACCCCGAUUGCGAAGGCAGCCUACUAAGCCAUGACUGACGCUGAUGCACGAAAGUGUGGGGAUCAAACAGGAUUAGAUACCCUAGUAGUC
RNAcentral lists this ribosomal RNA (460 nucleotides) under uncultured bacterium. Its description in RNAcentral is "partial 16S ribosomal RNA". It matches the Rfam family "Bacterial small subunit ribosomal RNA", at positions 338 to 795 of the family's 1533-position model. The record is from RNAcentral.